This is a long non-coding RNA of Macadamia integrifolia, 466 nucleotides long. RefSeq lists it as uncharacterized. The record is from RefSeq and is a predicted model, not a curated record. The transcript is spliced from 2 exons. Lineage: Eukaryota; Viridiplantae; Streptophyta; Magnoliopsida; Proteales; Proteaceae.
CAAAUUAGAAUUCUUAGUGGGUCCCACAACUGACCAAGUGCCAUUGAGGUCCAUUGGCGUGAUCGCGUCAGCUUCCCAAUCUCUGAUUUCUCCUGCUGCUUCUUCAAAUCUUCAAUUUCGUCUUUGUUUUCGAGUCACGAAACGAUUUAUCUGACUUCGCUAGUUCGAAUUGGGUCGAUUUCUGAAACCUUCUGUUGGAUUCUUUCAUGGAGGAAAGCAAAACAAGGUGAAAGUGAAAGGAAGAGGAAGAAGAAGAUGACGAGUUCCUCGUACCAGAGGAUGAGUCUUUUGUACAAGAAGAGAAGUGUUCCUUGCCUUUGUUCAGGAUUUUAGAAUCUGUCUCUUUACAAGAGCAUUAUGUGCCCAGAAUUUCAUCAGUGAUCGAUUCAGGUGUUGGUUGUCUACUUUGGUCAUUUUCUGCCUUUUGCUUGCUAAAUUAAUUUAAUCCUCUUGAGCAUUUGGUGCU